AGAGUUUGAUCAUGGCUCAGAGCGAACGCUGGCGGCAUGCUUAACACAUGCAAGUCGCACGGGCAGCUUCGGCUGUCAGUGGCGGACGGGUGAGUAACGCGUAGGUAUCUAUCCUUGGGUGGGGGACAACUGUGGGAAACUACAGCUAAUACCGCAUGACGACUGAGGUCCAAAGCAGCGAUGCGCCUGGGGAGGAGCCU
Molecule: ribosomal RNA, 200 nt
Filed under: uncultured bacterium
Lineage: Bacteria
Description: partial 16S ribosomal RNA
Rfam family: Bacterial small subunit ribosomal RNA
Source: RNAcentral